AGCCCGGUGGUGUAGCGGCCAAGCAUCCGGGGCUUUGGACCCCGGGACCCCAGACACCGCGGGGACUUCGAAUCUGGGCCGGGCUACCA
RNAcentral lists this transfer RNA (89 nucleotides) under Candidatus Jordarchaeia archaeon. RNAcentral's name for it is "tRNA-Gln". Lineage: Archaea; Promethearchaeati; Candidatus Jordarchaeia. The record is from RNAcentral.